GACGAACGCUGGCGGCGUGCUUAACACAUGCAAGUCGAACGGUGAAGCGCCUUCCUUUUUGGUGGGUGUGGAUGAGUGGCGAACGGGUGAGUAACACGUGAGUAACCUGCCCCCUUCUUCUGGAUAACCGCAUGAAAGUGUGGCUAAUACGGGAUAUUCUGGGUCUGUCGCAUGAUGGGUCUGGGAAAGAUAUUGUUUCGGUGGGGGAUGGGCUCGCGGCCUAUCAGCUUGUUGGUGGGGUGAUGGCCUACCAAGGCGGUGACGGGUAGCCGGCCUGAGAGGGGGGAGGGUCAAAGGGGGAAUGGGCCACGGCCCAGACUCCUACGGGGGGGGGCGGUGGGGAAUAUUGCAAAGGGGGGGAAAGCCUGAGGCAGCGACGCCGCGUGAGGGGGGGGGGCCUGGGGGUUGGGAACCUUUUUGGCCAGUGAAGCGGGCCGGCCUCGGUGGGGGGGGGGUGGACGGUAGGUGGAAAAGAAGGCGCGGAGAACUACGU
Molecule: ribosomal RNA, 493 nt
Filed under: uncultured bacterium
Lineage: Bacteria
Description: partial 16S ribosomal RNA
Rfam family: Bacterial small subunit ribosomal RNA
Source: RNAcentral